GGUACCUUAGCUCAGUUGGUAGAGCAAUGGACUGAAAAUCCAUGUGUCCCUGGUUCGAACCCUGGAGGUACCACAA
RNAcentral lists this transfer RNA (76 nucleotides) under Flavobacterium faecale. RNAcentral's name for it is "tRNA-Phe". It matches the Rfam family "tRNA". From Rfam's summary of the family: Transfer RNA (tRNA) molecules are approximately 80 nucleotides in length. Lineage: Bacteria; Pseudomonadati; Bacteroidota; Flavobacteriia; Flavobacteriales; Flavobacteriaceae. The record is from RNAcentral. RNAcentral also lists the same sequence under 1 other name.